UAAGGACUGAGACAUCGCCACCCUGUUGCUGUUGGUGAUCUUGGCAAGAGGAGUAUCCCAGCUGAUUCCAGACAGAAGCCAGACUGCAAUGGGAGAUACAUGUGUGCAGAUUUAGGCUCCUGGGAGGGAGCCAGCCAAAAGGGAGAGAUAGAAGUUACAGGAGAGAGAGGUUCUGUGUCUGGUUUUAUUUCUGCUCAGACUGUCUGUCCUCCUGUCUGCCGGUGGGGGAAGCACAAAGGGGUUCAGACGAGGCUGUUGCUCCAGUAUUCACAAACUGCUGACAUUCUUUCCUAUGAAGAUAACUAAAUCACCAAACUUGAUGAAAUUUCAUGAAAGAGAUGUUCUGUGGAGUCUAUGAAUACAACUAUUAAUUUUAAAG
Molecule: non-coding RNA, 379 nt
Organism: Odocoileus virginianus texanus
Lineage: Eukaryota; Metazoa; Chordata; Mammalia; Artiodactyla; Cervidae
Source: RefSeq, a predicted model, not a curated record